GUGAAUCAUCAAAUUCUUGAACGCAAAUUGCGCUUCCUGGUAUUCCGGGAAGUAUGCAUGUUUGAGGGUCAGUAUUAACAAAAAAUCGGUUUGGUUGCAAUUUGUGACGUAUACGGAGUGUGGGCUGAUCUUAACUUUUUUGGUUAAGGGGCUUAAAAUUGACCUUUUUUGAGCAUAUUUAGACGAACAUAAAUUUAUUUUCUUAUUCGUAUAUUUUUAAUGCCAAAAUAUUAUUAGAUGAGAUC
This 245-nucleotide unclassified non-coding RNA is filed under the name Glomeromycetes sp. RNAcentral describes it as "partial contains 5.8S ribosomal RNA and internal transcribed spacer 2". The stretch from base 1 to 71 matches the Rfam family "5.8S ribosomal RNA", at positions 84 to 154 of the family's 154-position model. Lineage: Eukaryota; Fungi; Glomeromycota; Glomeromycetes. The record is from RNAcentral.